This 2898-nucleotide ribosomal RNA is filed under the name Streptococcus thermophilus. Its description in RNAcentral is "bacterial LSU rRNA". It matches the Rfam family "Bacterial large subunit ribosomal RNA". The record is from RNAcentral. Lineage: Bacteria; Bacillati; Bacillota; Bacilli; Lactobacillales; Streptococcaceae.
UUAAGUUAAUAAGGGCGCACGGUGGAUGCCUUGGCACUAGAAGCCGAUGAAGGACGUGACUAACGACGAAAUGCUUUGGGGAGCUGUAAGUGAGCAAUGAUCCAGAGAUGUCCGAAUGGGGGAACCCGGCAGGUAAUGCCUGUCACUCAUUACUGUUAAGGUAAUGUAGAGGAAGACGCAGUGAACUGAAACAUCUAAGUAGCUGUAGGAAGAGAAAGCAAAAGCGAUUGCCUUAGUAGCGGCGAGCGAAACGGCAAGAGGGCAAACCGAAGAGUUUACUCUUCGGGGUUGUAGGACUGCAACGUGGACUUAAAGAUUAUAGAAGAACUACCUGGGAAGGUAGGCCAAAGAGAGUAAUAGCCUCGUAUUCGAAAUAGUCUUUAUACCUAGCAGUAUCCUGAGUACGGCGAGACACGAGAAAUCUCGUCGGAAUCUGGGAGGACCAUCUCCCAACCCUAAAUACUCUUUAGUGACCGAUAGUGAACCAGUACCGUGAGGGAAAGGUGAAAAGCACCCCGGGAGGGGAGUGAAAUAGAACCUGAAACCGUGUGCCUACAACAAGUUCGAGCCCGUUAAUGGGUGAGAGCGUGCCUUUUGUAGAAUGAACCGGCGAGUUACGAUAUGAUGCGAGGUUAAGUUGAAGAGACGGAGCCGUAGGGAAACCGAGUCUUAAUAGGGCGCAUUAGUAUCAUGUCGUAGACCCGAAACCAUGUGACCUACCCAUGAGCAGGUUGAAGGUGAGGUAAAACUCACUGGAGGACCGAACCAGGGCACGUUGAAAAGUGCUUGGAUGACUUGUGGGUAGCGGAGAAAUUCCAAACGAACUUGGAGAUAGCUGGUUCUCUCCGAAAUAGCUUUAGGGCUAGCGUCGAUGUUAAGUCUCUUGGAGGUAGAGCACUGUUUGGGUGAGGGGUCCAUCCCGGAUUACCAAUCUCAGAUAAACUCCGAAUGCCAAUGAGAUAUAAUCGGCAGUCAGACUGCGAGUGCUAAGAUCCGUAGUCGAAAGGGAAACAGCCCAGACCACCAGCUAAGGUCCCAAAAUAUAUGUUAAGUGGAAAAGGAUGUGGGGUUGCACAGACAACUAGGAUGUUAGCUUAGAAGCAGCUAUUCAUUCAAAGAGUGCGUAAUAGCUCACUAGUCGAGUGACCCUGCGCCGAAAAUGUACCGGGGCUAAAACAUAUUACCGAAGCUGUGGAUACCUUUAUAGGUAUGGUAGGAGAGCGUUCUAUGUGCGAAGAAGGUGUACCGUGAGGAGUGCUGGAGCGCAUAGAAGUGAGAAUGCCGGUAUGAGUAGCGAAAGACAGGUGAGAAUCCUGUCCACCGUAAGACUAAGGUUUCCAGGGGAAGGCUCGUCCGCCCUGGGUUAGUCGGGACCUAAGGAGAGACCGAAAGGUGUAUCCGAUGGACAACAGGUUGAUAUUCCUGUACUAGAGUAUAUAGUGAUGGAAGGACGCAGUAGGCUAACUAAACCAGACGAUUGGAAGUGUCUGGCCAAGCAGUGAGGUGUGAUAUGAGUCAAAUGCUUAUAUCUUUAACAUUGAGCUGUGAUGGGGAGCGAAGUUUAGUAGCGAAGUUAGUGAUGUCACACUGCCGAGAAAAGCUUCUAGCGUUAAUUAUACUCUACCCGUACCGCAAACCGACACAGGUAGUCGAGGCGAGUAGCCUCAGGUGAGCGAGAGAACUCUCGUUAAGGAACUCGGCAAAAUGGCCCCGUAACUUCGGGAGAAGGGGCGCUGACUGAUGGUCAGCCGCAGUGAAUAGGCCCAAGCAACUGUUUAUCAAAAACACAGCUCUCUGCUAAAUCGUAAGAUGAUGUAUAGGGGGUGACGCCUGCCCGGUGCUGGAAGGUUAAGAGGAGUGCUUAGCGUAAGCGAAGGCAUGAAUUGAAGCCCCAGUAAACGGCGGCCGUAACUAUAACGGUCCUAAGGUAGCGAAAUUCCUUGUCGGGUAAGUUCCGACCCGCACGAAAGGCGUAAUGAUUUGGGCACUGUCUCAACGAGAGACUCGGUGAAAUUUUAGUACCUGUGAAGAUGCAGGUUACCCGCGACAGGACGGAAAGACCCCAUGGAGCUUUACUGCAGUUUGAUAUUGAGUAUCUGUACCACAUGUACAGGAUAGGUAGGAGCCUAUGACCUCGGGACGCCAGUUUCGAGUGAGGCGUUGUUGGGAUACUACCCUUGUGUUAUGGCUACUCUAACCCAGAUAGGUUAUCCCUAUCGGAGACAGUGUCUGACGGGCAGUUUGACUGGGGCGGUCGCCUCCUAAAAGGUAACGGAGGCGCCCAAAGGUUCCCUCAGAAUGGUUGGAAAUCAUUCGCAGAGUGUAAAGGUAUAAGGGAGCUUGACUGCGAGAGCUACAACUCGAGCAGGGACGAAAGUCGGGCUUAGUGAUCCGGUGGUUCCGUAUGGAAGGGCCAUCGCUCAACGGAUAAAAGCUACCCUGGGGAUAACAGGCUUAUCUCCCCCAAGAGUUCACAUCGACGGGGAGGUUUGGCACCUCGAUGUCGGCUCGUCGCAUCCUGGGGCUGUAGUCGGUCCCAAGGGUUGGGCUGUUCGCCCAUUAAAGCGGCACGCGAGCUGGGUUCAGAACGUCGUGAGACAGUUCGGUCCCUAUCCGUCGCGGGCGUAGGAAAUUUGAGAGGAUCUGCUCCUAGUACGAGAGGACCAGAGUGGACUUACCGCUGGUGUACCAGUUGUUCUGCCAAGAGCAUCGCUGGGUAGCUAUGUAGGGAAGGGAUAAACGCUGAAAGCAUCUAAGUGUGAAGCCCACCUCAAGAUGAGAUUUCCCAUGAUUUUAUAUCAGUAAGAGCCCUGAGAGAUGAUCAGGUUGAUAGGUUAGAAGUGGAAGUGUGGUGACACAUGUAGCGGACUAAUACUAAUAGCUCGAGGACUUAUCCAA